Molecule: ribosomal RNA, 442 nt
Filed under: uncultured bacterium
Lineage: Bacteria
Description: partial 16S ribosomal RNA
Rfam family: Bacterial small subunit ribosomal RNA
Source: RNAcentral
CCUACGGGUGGCAGCAGUGGGGAAUAUUGGGCAAUGGGCGCAAGUCUGACCCAGCAACGCCGCGUGAAGGAAGAAGGCUUUCGGGUUGUAAACUUCUUUUAAGAGGGAAGAGCAGAAGACGGUACCUCUUGAAUAAGCCACGGCUAACUACGUGCCAGCAGCCGAGGUAAUACGUAGGAGGCAAGCGUUGUACGGAUUUACGGGGUGUAAAGGGCGUGCAGCGGGGAAGACAAGUCAGAUGUGAAAGCCCGGGGCUCAACCGCGGAACUGCAUUUGAAACUGUUGUUCUUGAGUACCGUAGCGGUAAUCGGAAUUCAUGGUGUAGCGGUGAAAUGCGUAGAGAUAAGGAAGAACACCAGUGGCGAAGGCGGAUGACUGGACGGCAACUGACGGUGAGGCGCGAAAGCGUGGGGAGCAAACAGGAUUAGAUACCCGGGUAGUC